Molecule: non-coding RNA, 688 nt
Organism: Chiloscyllium plagiosum (whitespotted bambooshark)
Lineage: Eukaryota; Metazoa; Chordata; Chondrichthyes; Orectolobiformes; Hemiscylliidae
Source: RefSeq, a predicted model, not a curated record
ACCAAGAGUGCAGAAGGUGAAAGAUUUAGGAUGUCUGCUGCAAGCUGGGAAGAAAUUUGUCAUGGGACCGGAAGGAUCCAUUUGAUAUGGUCCACAUAUAGGUCCUAGUGACACAGAGUGGACUGGAAGAGAGCUUGAGCUGAGGAGGAAUGAGCAGCUCGGGGCAAAAUUAGAAAGCAGAAUUCCAGCUCUGUGCAAGAUGGCGGCAGGGGAAUGGAGGAGCUGGCAAUGUCCUGGAGGCGAAUCCCGGAGCAGGGAGCAAGUCCCGGGCAGAGGCUAGCACUGGGAAUCAAGUCCUGGAGCAGAGGCCAGUGCACAGAAGUGAAUCCUGGAGCAGAGGCCAGCACAGGGAAGCAGCUGAGAGCCAGUGUGGAGCGGACUGGAGGCAUGGAACAGAACAGAACAGAGAUGGUUGUUGUAUUGGGUCUAGUCUAGUCCAGGUGGUCAGACCACGUGUGGAAGUCCUUGUGCUGAGCUACUGAAGCGUAAUGUUUAUUUGUAAUUUGUUUAUCUGACUGUAAUGUCUACUCUUUUAACUCGGUCUUAUUUCUAACUUAUACUACGAAUCACUGUAAAGUAAUGCUACAAUUUUUCUUUUUUAUUCCUCUUUUUGUGUCUAAGAUUUGUACCUCUGCACUUAUAACUAAGAUGGUGCCAUAACAGGGGACAUUAAAAAACUUUCACUGUA